RNAcentral lists this ribosomal RNA (478 nucleotides) under uncultured bacterium. Its description in RNAcentral is "bacterial SSU rRNA". It matches the Rfam family "Bacterial small subunit ribosomal RNA", at positions 56 to 541 of the family's 1533-position model. The record is from RNAcentral.
UGCAAGUCGAACGGGAUUUCAUUUGUAGUAAUACAGAUGAAAUCUAGUGGCGAACGGGUGCGUAACACGUGAGCAAUCUGCCGGGAAGUGGGGGAUAACUCGCUGAAAGGCGAAUUAAUACCGCAUAUGGCCAGGGAAGACAUCUUCCCGAAGCCAAAGUCGCAAGACGCUUCCUGAUGAGCUCGCGGCCUAUCAGCUAGUUGGUGAGGUAAUGGCUCACCAAGGCAAUGACGGGUAGCUGGUCUGAGAGGACGACCAGCCACACUGGAACUGAGACACGGUCCAGACACCUACGGGUGGCAGCAGUCGAGAAUUUUUCACAAUGGGGGAAACCCUGAUGGAGCGACGCCGCGUGGAGGAUGAAGGUUUUCGGAUUGUAAACUCCUGUCAAAUGGGAACAAGAAAGUGAUAGUACCUGAAGAGGAAGAGACGGCUAACUCUGUGCCAGCAGCCGCGGUAAUACAGAGGUCUCAACCGU